This 467-nucleotide ribosomal RNA is filed under the name uncultured bacterium. Its description in RNAcentral is "bacterial SSU rRNA". It matches the Rfam family "Bacterial small subunit ribosomal RNA", at positions 340 to 787 of the family's 1533-position model. The record is from RNAcentral.
UACGGAAGGCAGCAGUGGGGGAAUAUUGCACAAUGGGCGAAAGCCUGAUGCAGCUAUGCCGCGUGUAUGAAGAAAGGCCUUAGGGGUUGUAAAGUACUUUUCAUCGGGGAGGAAAAAACAAAACUAAUAAUUUUAUUUCUUUGACGUUACCCGAAAAAGAAGCACCGGCUAACUCCGUGCCAGCAGCCGCGGUAAUACGGAGGGUGCUAGCGUUAAUCAGAAUUACUGGGCGUAAAGAGCACGUAGGUGGUUUUUUUAAAGUCAGAUGUGAAAUCCCUGGGCUUAACCUAGGAACUGCAUUUUGAAACUGAAAUACUAGAGUAUCGUAGAGGGAGGUUAGAAUUCUAGGUGUAGCGGUGAAAUGCGUAGAUAUCUGGAGGAAUACCUGUGGCGAAAGCGGCCUCCUAAACGAAUACCUGACACUGAGGGUGCGAAAGCGUGGGGAGCAAACGAGGGAUUAGACUACC